GGCGGCGUGCCUAAUACAUGCAAGUCGAGCGGACAGAUGGGAGCUUGCUCCCUGAUGUUAGCGGCGGACGGGUGAGUAACACGUGGGUAACCUGCCUGUAAGACUGGGAUAACUCCGGGAAACCGGGGCUAAUACCGGAUGCUUGUUUGAACCGCAUGGUUCAAACAUAAAAGGUGGCUUCGGCUACCACUUACAGAUGGACCCGCGGCGCAUUAGCUAGUUGGUGAGGUAACGGCUCACCAAGGCAACGAUGCGUAGCCGACCUGAGAGGGUGAUCGGCCACACUGGGACUGAGACACGGCCCAGACUCCUACGGGAGGCAGCAGUAGGGAAUCUUCCGCAAUGGACGAAAGUCUGACGGAGCAACGCCGCGUGAGUGAUGAAGGUUUUCGGAUCGUAAAGCUCUGUUGUUAGGGAAGAACAAGUACCGUUCGAAUAGGGCGGUACCUUGACGGUACCUAACCAGAAAGCCACGGCUAACUACGUGCCAGCAGCCGCGGUAAUACGUAGGUGGCAAGCGUUGUCCGGAAUUAUUGGGCGUAAAGGGCUCGCAGGCGGUUUCUUAAGUCUGAUGUGAAAGCCCCCGGCUCAACCGGGGAGGGUCAUUGGAAACUGGGGAACUUGAGUGCAGAAGAGGAGAGUGGAAUUCCACGUGUAGCGGUGAAAUGCGUAGAGAUGUGGAGGAACACCAGUGGCGAAGGCGACUCUCUGGUCUGUACUGACGCUGAGGAGCGAAAGCGUGGGGAGCGAACAGGAUUAGAUACCCUGGUAG
This 772-nucleotide ribosomal RNA is filed under the name Bacillus subtilis. RNAcentral's name for it is "bacterial SSU rRNA". It matches the Rfam family "Bacterial small subunit ribosomal RNA", at positions 38 to 793 of the family's 1533-position model. The record is from RNAcentral. Lineage: Bacteria; Bacillati; Bacillota; Bacilli; Caryophanales; Bacillaceae.